CUCAUGCAACAGAGCCAUGUGGAUAGCAGCUACCAGCCUACUGUGGUGACAUCAGUAGCCAUAACCCCAACCACAGCCAACAAGAAGAGAAUGAAGACCACCACAAAACAAGACAGUGGGCUCCAAGUGGGGCACACACACCCCAGAAGAUAUGCAAGAGGCCACAGACGAUGUGAAGAAUAUAUUAAAACUUCUAACAUUUAUCCAAAAGCACUUAACUUUGUGAUUGUGCCACAUACAGCACACCCCAGCAGAAAUAUACUUCAAGUCACCUUUCUAGAAUUGGUGUUUUUUACUGAUUUAACAAAUGCUGGACACAAAAAUCCAGGUUCUGAUAACAGGUAUACAAGAGUCAUUACUGAAAGAAAUACAGGUACUGUUCUGACCUAAAAACUAUUAAAAUUUAAAUAAAUCCAAAAUUCAGCAUUUUCUGGGUUAAAUUAGUGCACUACUUCAGUAUCUGCAAUUCAAAUAAGUCCUCUGAGAAAUUGGCCUCCAUAACCAGUGACGUGCUGCUGAACUGAACAGAUCUCCAAAAUAUCCUAACAGAUUUCUUUCUUUCAUUGUAGAAUUGUUUCCAUCUGGUGCUUAGAUAUUAAACCUGGAAUAUGUAAAGGCUCUCCCCUCUCACCCUGUUUGACUUCCAAAUGCUGGCAAAUAAUUUGCAUUGUCAAUGAAUUGAGGAUUAAAAUUUUGAACUUAACUGUGUAGUUGUAAAAUGUACAAUUUAAAGCGAUAGAUCUUUGAAGUAG
This 752-nucleotide long non-coding RNA is filed under the name Canis lupus familiaris (dog). Its description in RNAcentral is "lncRNA (ENSCAFG00000053820.1)". The record is from RNAcentral. Lineage: Eukaryota; Metazoa; Chordata; Mammalia; Carnivora; Canidae.